This 369-nucleotide ribosomal RNA is filed under the name uncultured Synechococcus sp. RNAcentral's name for it is "bacterial SSU rRNA". It matches the Rfam family "Bacterial small subunit ribosomal RNA", at positions 399 to 785 of the family's 1533-position model. The record is from RNAcentral. Lineage: Bacteria; Bacillati; Cyanobacteriota; Cyanophyceae; Synechococcales; Synechococcaceae.
GCGUGAGGGAGGAGGCUCUUGGGUUGUAAACCUCAAAACUUAGGGAAGAAAAAAAUGACGGUACCUAAUGUAAGCAUCGGCUAACUCCGUGCCAGCAGCCGCGGUAAUACGGAGGAUGCAAGCGUUAUCCGGAAUCAUUGGGCGUAAAGAGUCCGUAGGUGGCACUUCAAGUCUGCUUUCAAAGACCGAAGCUCAACUUCGGAAAGGGAGUGGAAACUGAAGAGCUAGAGUAUAGUAGGGGUAGAGGGAAUUCCUAGUGUAGCGGUGAAAUGCGUAGAGAUUAGGAAGAACACCAGUGGCGAAGGCGCUCUACUGGGCAUAUACUGACACUGAGGGACGAAAGCUAGGGGAGCGAAUGGGAUUAGAUCC